RNAcentral lists this long non-coding RNA (5420 nucleotides) under Bemisia tabaci. Its description in RNAcentral is "lncRNA ENSASIAIIG009674". The record is from RNAcentral. Lineage: Eukaryota; Metazoa; Arthropoda; Insecta; Hemiptera; Aleyrodidae.
AUGACUACCUUAUCAGGACACUCAUAUGCCUCAGCACUUGCACAUUUAGUAUUAACAGGAUCCUCUUGUUGGGCCCUCAGUAAAAUAAACAGUGGUGUUCAUGGCAAGUAUGCACUAGGUGCAUACUGCCUGCAUCUAGCUCAUGGUGUCAUAGGAUUGUUCCGAUAUGCUAUCCCUCAGCAUAAAAGCAACUACAGGUUUCUGCAAAUGAUACGGGCAGUAUACCUCCGAAUCAGGCUCGUCAACUCAAAUUUGGCUCUACCCCUAAUGACAGUUCAAGUAGCAUUACUGUUGAAGCCAGCAUGGCAGUCUUUCAUACUGUUCCUGCUUGCCAUACCUAGUCUUCACGUUUUGAGAUACUGGGUUCAUAAACCAUACUCUGUACCUGAGUUGGAAAUCUUUUCGCAAACCCUUUGUUUGGGAGCUCUUGGCUACUUGAGCUAUUCAGAGGGCAAUGACUACGGAUAUGCGCUCUUAUUCAGCUGUUUUGCUGCAGUGCUUAUCCACCGAAUGACUGAUGAGUUUUCUCGCAGAGACUUAUUUGUUUAUGCUCUGUCAUUUUUUGUUUUUUUCUCGUACAAAACUUUACACUCUAGUUUACCAUUUUACUACAGAUAUUUUUACUAAAAAUCAUUGUUAAAAGCCACUGAAAGCUCCCGAUUGUGAAGCUUCUGAGUUGUUGUGUGUCAAACUGCCAAGUAUUUUGAACCUGCUUGAUAUUUAUCCGCAAAGAAUCCAAUGAAUCAAGUUGUGACAACAGGUGUUUUUGGUAAUGGCCUUAUGUCUUAAUUUUUUUUUUUGAAAGAAAUAAAUUAAAUAUUAUUUUUUUCAGUAAAAAUUACCGUUCAAAUGAUUUUACACAUUGAGAAAUUUUCAUUGAAAGUUUGGCUUCUAUCAAAACAAAUUUUUAUCGAUUUUGCUUCAUGUGAAAAAAAAUAGUGAUCGAGGAGGAAAAUUUUUUGAUAUCAAAAAUCCCAAAAGUCUUGUCUUUGACCCUCAUAUAAGCGAACAAAUGAAGGUAGCAAAUUACAGGUUGUACAAGAUUGAAAAUCAUUUGCUAACUUUUCAAGACGUCCACCUUGAGCUCAUGAAAUCAAAUAUUCACUGAGCGCCAGUAAUUUUUAAACAAUUUGUUCAAGUACUUCUCGGGACACCUUUACGUACACCUUUUUUAAGAGAGGAAAUUCAAAGGCCAUCAGCAUUAAGUUCUACCAAAGUGAAAUGUCAAUGGGCCAGUGUCAUGGUGUACACAAAAAAUUUUGAAAAUUCCUCAGGGGUUACCCACGCAAAUUUGUUGCCUAAAAAUCACUACACUGAAUUCAGCAAAUUUUUGAUUGAAUAAGCACAACAAAGUUAUGUCAGGCAGCUAUUGAAGCACUCUUUAAACUUGUACAGCGCACAUAAUCUUUCUUAAAUUUAUUUUUUCACUCAUUUGAGGGUCUGGUCACAAUAAUUUCAAUAUUUUCAGUAUUUUCUUCGGCAAAAACAGGUACGAAUGUUCCCAAUUGCUUGAAGAAAUGACACAUAAUUUUGUCUUUCAUUGUAGAAAUAUGUUUGAAUUAAUUUCACUCUGCAUUCGAUUUUCAUUGUGCCCUGUGCCCGGUGAAAAGCAGAAAUCACCAUGUGUGGUAUAAAAUUUUGCAGACCACAUGGCUUUGGCAAGCAUGAUAUUGAAUCAUCUUCCUUUUUUUUAAGAUAGUGUAUUGAAAUCUGUCUUUUUGAUGCUUGACUUUAUUUGACAUGUUUCGGUAAUGCCUGCAUUAAAUUUUGCUCUUGAUGAGAGAAAGAGGAAGAGAUUUCUUGCCAUUCGCCAUUGUCUUAGUGCACUGAUUGUUUUUGACUGCAUUUUUUUCAGAAUUAAAGUUAGGAAUAUUAAAAUUUCUUUUUAUGUGGUGUUUUUACAUUAUUACAAAGUUCAUUGAUGAGUAAUUGUGUACCCACUAUUGAGUUACUUAGGUACCAAAGUGUAACUGUUAAUUUUAUGAAGACCCUCAGAUCUGUGUUGAUGGUUUUUAAACUGCCGUGAGAAUAUUUAUAAAAUUUGUUAGUAAAAACUCACCUGAAGGUAAAACAAUUGACUAUUUAUUGAAGCUGCAAGUAAAAAUGAUGAGCUGACCAAUCUAUAAUCACAUCAUUUUACUUAAAUGUGAAGAAAGUACCUACCUUUUAAAACAUUUAUUAAUUUAAUCAUAAGGUAUUUUCUGAUUUAUUUUUCUAUGCACUGUCAUGUUUAUUAACUUAUUUUUAAUAUUGUCAAAAGUAAUUAAUGGCUUUUUUAUCCGUCUAUUUUUCUUUUUUCGUUUUUGGAUUUUUUUGAGAUUGUUACAAAUAUACUGAAAUUUAGUGCUUUCAUCAAUUGUUUAAAAUUUUUAGAAAAAAUUUCUUUCCAACCACUUCUAUCUAGAUUAUUCUAUUUUUGCGAGUGAACCAAGAAAAUACGGAAUAAAUUUGCGGGCACAAUAAUGAUGGUAUUUGGCACAUAAAUUUUCUGUCCUGGAUGUUUCAUGCAUCUGUAAGCAUGUUUUCGGAUUUUGCAACAUUGUGUGAAAAGAUAAUGUUAGUGUACUAGAUGAUUCCAUUUUGAAUUUCAACAGAGACAGGUAGCAGGCGAACCUCCCUUGAACACUUUUAAAUGAUUGGCAAAUUUCAUGGUAGCAUAAUUAUUUACUUACAGGUCAUGAAAUUGAAAAUAGCACACACAUACCUUUAUCUCAGUUUACAAUAUUGUAAACUUCCUUUGAAGUCUCAUCUAAGCAGGAAUCAAGCCAAGCGAUGAUACCUCAUUUGUGAAAUUUUUUGUCAUUUUCUCUAAAACUAAACUAUCAGGAAAUAUUUUCUAAAAUUUUCAUGUAAAAGUAUUAUAGUCGGUUUUUUUUUGGGGGGGGGGGAGGGGAAUUAAGUGAAAGCAAAAAUUUGAAUCACAGAAAUUGAGAUUUUGAUUGUUAAACUACCAAUGAUAAUUUCCACUCAUAUUUCCUCAGAAAAUACUUACUACCCGCCUGUUUUGAGGAAAUUUUUAGCGAUUCAAUGUGGAACAGAUGAAUGAAGCCCAAUCAAUUUUUUCAAAUCAAAUAAGAGUAUGUGCAAAAACGAUCAUCAAGCCAGUUUUGCAGAAGUAAAAUGUGACAGGAGAUUUGCAAUGCAACUAACUAAGAUAAAGAUUGGGUACUUUCAACAUCAAUAUGCGUUCCUCUCCUUUCACCUCGGAUCUACUCAUCUCCGUAAAUGAGGAUUCGCCGUAAUGUAUCCCUUCGAUGGCUAUUUUAAGAAAUCUCAUUGUUAGGUACAAGUGAACCUCUUAAAAUUGAAGUCAAAUUUCGGGAAAAUAGGAAAGAGUGUGCUGUCAGCUUGAAAAGCUGAAUGAUAACAAAAAUGAACUACUUAGAAUAAGUACAAAAUAUAUUUAUCACAGAUAAAGAAAACAAAAAUUGAUCUACAGAAAAGAAACAGACAGUACUAAUACAAUAGAAGAGACUUUAGAACAUGUUUAAUUCAAUAUAAAAGUAAAAUGAUAAAAUAAGUUAAUGAUAGAUUGCUGAAAUUUACUGAAAUUUAAAAUUUUUAUUUACAAACUUCAGUUAGAUUGAAGGACUUUUCAUUAGAAGAAAAAAGACGUACUGCUCGUAAGAGUAGAAAUUGCAAGAUGGCUGACACAAUAGUUGAAAACGAAUGAAAAAAUACCUCCAACAUUCAACAUUAUAAAGGUAAAUAAUGUGUGCUCUAAAAUUGCCAGUACAUGGAAAUAGUAAAGAAUCGAGUGAAAGAAUACGUAAUUUAGUUAUACGUACUUUUGAUUAAAUAUUUUUGUUUCUUACAAAAAUACUGGAAAUGUUCAAGAUGAAAUUAAUUUAUAGUUCUUUUUAACUAUCAAAACUAAUCUUUUGGGAAAAAUUUCAAAGAAAAAUCCUCACUCAUUUUCUGUAUGGGGGUAGAUAGAGUGAUCUGAUUCUGCAUGUUGCGCAGAAAAUUUGUCUCUGAUAACUCACGGGGUAUACAAUUUUUCAGCAUUUCAAAAAGUUGACAGGUUCAGAUAGCGCAGGGUCCCACUAUACUGUGUUUAUUAAUUUUCACCAAACAUUACAGUUUUCAGAAUAAGAAUUCAAAACAGCCAAUAGGGAAAAAUAACAAAAGAAUAUCUUUUCAGCCCUCAUGAGAUCCUAGGCCAAGUGUAAAGUGACAUUUCCUCAUCACUGAGAAUGCCAGAGAAGACAUUCUGCCACUUCACUGUAAAAUUUUUCUACACAGGCAUUGUUUCUCUGGCAAAAAUAUAUAUAUAAUAAUUGAUUAUCAGCAGCAAUUUUCUUUCAAGAAUUUGCAACUGGAUGGAGCUGUGAGUGAUGUCAAGCCAUUUUAACUGUUUUUGAGUUCUUCUGAAACAAGAGUCGCCCACAAUAAUAAGAUUUUACAGCCUACCACUGUCUAAGAAAGGGGCCUUUUCAUUUUCUAACAUUAUAUCACACCUAGCAAUUUUAAAAGUAGAAUUUUUCAUCCAUCCAAGAUACAUGCUUUUUUAAACUAAAAUAUUAAACUAAUUCUCCAUGAUAAUUCAUGUUCCAUAUCCAGCCCCUGUGGGCUACAGAAAAUUAAAAAAUGUAUAAAUUAUAAAUAACUUUGAAAAAUGUAUUAAAACUCUUACAGAUGUAAAUAAAAAUCCUGGAUCAGAAACCUUGGUAAAAAAGAAUUAUACUGAUCUCAAGGACUUCUGGGUCAAAAUAAUUGUUUAUUUUUCUCAUUCAAAGCCACAUAAUUCUUCUUUCCUUUUUAAAAGUUUCAUGGAAAAUCUAUUCCACUAUGUAUUACUAUUCACCAACAACACUUCGAGCACAGAAAAAGAUACCCAGUAACAGAAAAGUCCUAAUGCAAAUGCGGUGCAGGCAUCCAUAAAUGGACUUGAAACUAUAGCUUCGUUGUAAACUUAAGUCUUGCGAAAAAACAAGAAAAUUUUCCAAAUGUUAGGGGGCUUCAAGUUUCUUAACUACAGGUGAGAGUUGGAUCAAAAUCAAGAUUCAGCAAUCAUUACCAAGUUUGGUUAUCAAGUGCAUCUACACACUAAGAUCCUUAAUUUUCCCCAUUACUAAUACAUACUAUCAUCGUUUUAAAAGGGAGGGGAAAUGAGCUCUUGUUUACCUGAGGGAUUCUAUGCUCUGUUUUUACUGUCUCCACGAUUGACGAAGUUAUUCAACUUCAAAAUUGUCCUUUGAACAUAAAAUCAUGAUUCCUCUAUUUUUCUAGUCCACUUUUAUUCCAUCUGUAUAGUCCAAAAGACCUCAUCACUUAUCUUUCACAUGAAGAUUAAACAAUGGCUGAGAGAAUAAUGUUAACAGAGAGGAACAUCACUAUCAUAAUGUUCCCAAACUGACAGAAGCCCAAAACCCUUCACGGAAAAAUAUGUUCCUGAUAUAAACGGGUGGGAGUUAGAG